RNAcentral lists this ribosomal RNA (549 nucleotides) under uncultured bacterium. RNAcentral's name for it is "bacterial SSU rRNA". It matches the Rfam family "Bacterial small subunit ribosomal RNA", at positions 777 to 1337 of the family's 1533-position model. The record is from RNAcentral.
AAUAGAUACCCCGGUAGUCCUAGCCGUAAACGAUGUAGACUAGGCGUUGGUGGAGUAAAAUUCAUCAGUGCCGCAGCAAACGCGAUAAGUCUACCGCCUGGGGAGUACGGCCGCAAGGUUAAAACUCAAAGGAAUUGACGGGGCCCCCGCACAAGCAGCGGAGCGUGUGGUUUAAUUCGAUGCUACACGAAGAACCUUACCAGGGUUUGACAUAUAAGUGGUAGGGAAGGGAAACCGGACCGACCCUUCGGGGAGCUUAUACAGGUGCUGCAUGGCUGUCGUCAGCUCGUGUCGUGAGAUGUUCGGUUAAGUCCGCUAACGAGCGCAACCCUCGCUGUGUGUUACAAGUGUCACACGGUACUGCCGGUCUUAAACCGGAGGAAGGUGGGGAUGACGUCAAGUCAGCAUGGCCUUUAUAUCCUGGGCUACACACACGCUACAAUGGGUAGGGACAAUUGGUUGCGAAACCGCGAGGUGGAGCCAAUCCGUAAAAACUCCCUCAGUUCAGAUUGCAGGCUGCAACUCGCCUGCAUGAAGUCGGAGUUGACG